This 439-nucleotide ribosomal RNA is filed under the name uncultured bacterium. RNAcentral's name for it is "bacterial SSU rRNA". It matches the Rfam family "Bacterial small subunit ribosomal RNA", at positions 340 to 773 of the family's 1533-position model. The record is from RNAcentral.
UACGGGAGGCAGCAGUGGGGAAUAUUGCACAAUGGGCGCAAGCCUGAUGCAGCCAUGCCGCGUGUAUGAAAAAGGCCUUCGGGUUGUAAAGUACUUUCAGUCGUGAGGAAGGUGUUAAGGUUAAUAACCUUAGCAAUUGACGUUAGCGACAGAAGAAGCACCGGCUAACUCCGUGCCAGCAGCCGCGGUAAUACGGAGGGUGCGAGCGUUAAUCGGAAUUACUGGGCGUAAAGGGCACGCAGGCGGUUAAUUAAGUUGGAUGUGAAAUCCCCGGGCUUAACCUGGGAAUGGCAUUCAAGACUGGUUAGCUAGAGUCUUGUAGAGGGGGUAGAAUUCCAUGUGUAGCGGUGAAAUGCGCAGAGAUGUGGAGGAAUACCGGUGGCGAAGGCGGCCCCUGGACAAAGACUGACGCUCAUGUGCGAAAGCGUGGGGAGCAAAC